Paracoccidioides brasiliensis is the source of this 86-nucleotide non-coding RNA. Lineage: Eukaryota; Fungi; Ascomycota; Eurotiomycetes; Onygenales; Ajellomycetaceae. The record is from Rfam.
AGGAAGAAUCCGUAUGCUGGUUUGCGGGUUGAGCUGUAAACUCAAUAGCUCUUUAGCUAACAAAGGUUCAAUUCCUUUUCUUCCUA